Non-coding RNA from Glycine soja, 132 nucleotides. The record is from Rfam. Lineage: Eukaryota; Viridiplantae; Streptophyta; Magnoliopsida; Fabales; Fabaceae.
AUCUUUGAUCUGGGUGAGAGAAACGCGUAUCGAUGGAUUGGGUUCAGUUCUGGUCUCACACGGUUUGUUCUAACAAUUUGUACUGACUGUGUUUUGAUCGAUACGGGUCGCUCUCACCUAGGCCAGAGUUGC